UGCUGUACUGCAGAGUCUGAUGAAAAUUCAGCUGCUGUGAGAAACAUGUGGCACCAACACUCUGUGAUGACUCAAGAGCUGGCAGGGAGCCCCACAGUUUUGCUGAGAUAUAAAUCAAUGCACUUUCCAAAACAAUUCUCAAUGCAGCUUUGUUUGAACUGACACAUUGCUGACAAAAAUGGUCUGUGAUAGCCCAACAUGAUUUUUCCUGUGGCUGCUCUUCUGUGUAAAACUUCAUUCUGGUGUAUUUGGGGAAACUUCAGAUACCAGCUUUUGAAGAACUGACUUUAUGGAAUGUUCCUGCAGCCCUGACAAAGAGAAGUGAAGAGCAAAAGAUACAAAAGAUAAACUGUUGAGGAAAUACUGGAAUUUUGCCUGGGGUUCCAAGCAUUAUAACAUUUUCUAUCCCCAGCUCUUCACUUUGUCCCUAACUUGGAUCAAAUGAACAAUGUGACUGCAGCUGAACCAGACAUAUGCCAUGGGACUGUGAUGCCACUGAAGUCCCUGCACUGGAAACAACUGACAAAGUUCUCUAAAACUAAUGUAAAUGAGAGUAGGAUCAAGACUUUUUCUGGAAGUAUUUGCUUGCAUUAGAAAAGGGAAAAAAAGAGGGA
Catharus ustulatus (Swainson's thrush) is the source of this 614-nucleotide long non-coding RNA. RefSeq lists it as uncharacterized. The record is from RefSeq and is a predicted model, not a curated record. NCBI's taxonomy places the organism in Eukaryota, Metazoa, Chordata, Aves, Passeriformes, Turdidae. The transcript is spliced from 5 exons.